RNAcentral lists this long non-coding RNA (2338 nucleotides) under Sarcophilus harrisii (Tasmanian devil). RNAcentral describes it as "lncRNA (ENSSHAG00000002773.2)". Lineage: Eukaryota; Metazoa; Chordata; Mammalia; Dasyuromorphia; Dasyuridae. The record is from RNAcentral.
CUCCCCCUUCAGGCUCCUUCUCCCCCUCUGCCCCUUCCUCCCCGCCCUGGAGGAUUUCUUUCUUUUCCUCAGCCCCUUGACCAGGCUGCUCUCCUUCCAUCAUUUCUUGGGCUUUUAUAGGGCUCGUCUUCCUGUUGGCUUCUUCUCCUUCAUUGGCUACGUCGGCUGUGUUAUCCGUGGCGUUCUCAAACUUGGUUUCUGAGAAUUGUGUCUCACUCUUUUCGGUAGGGUUACUUUUCUCAGCAGAUAAUGAUUUCUUCUUUUCGUAACCUUCUGACCCUUCUUCUUUUGGAAGUUCCUCAGUCAGUUCUUGGUCUUUGCUCUUUGCGACCCCUUCAAUCACCAGCCAUAAGGCUUUGCCGUGGUCCAGGAGCUCAUCACCUUCAGGAGUCUUCACACCUAAAGUCUGCUCAUCUUCUGUGGCCAGAAGCUGAUCAAAUUCUGCUCCUGAGGUCAGCUCGCCUUCUGUUCCUGAGGUCACCUGGCCUUCUAGCGUGGAGGCCAGCUCCUCUUCUGCCCCUGGAGUCACCUGGCCUUCUGGCCCAGAGGUCAGCUCGUCUUCUGCCACUGAGGCCUGCGGGCCUUCUGCCUCUGAGGUCAGCUCACCUUCUGCCGCUGAGGCCUGCUGGCCUUCUGCCUCUGAGGUCAGCUCACCUUCUGCCGCUGAGGCCUGCUGGCCUUCUGCCUCUGAGGCCAGCUCCUCUUCUGCUCCUGGGGUCACCUGGUCUUCUGGCCCAGAGGUCAGCUCGCCUUCUGCCCCUGAGGCCUGCUGGCCUUCUGCCUCUGAGGUCAGCUCACCUUCUGCUCCUGAGGCCUGCUGGCCUUCUGCCUCUGAGGUCAGCUCACCUUCUGCUCCUGAGGCCUGCUGGCCUGCCUCUGAGGUCAGCUCACCUUCUGCUCCUGAGGCCUGCUGGCCUUCUGCCUCUGAGGUCAACUCCCCUUCUGCCCCUGAAGUUUGCUGGCCUUCUGCCUCUGAGGUCAACUGGCCUUCUGGCCCUGAGAUCUGCUGGCCUUCUUGCCCUGAGGUCGGCUGGCCUUCUACUUCUGAGGUCAGAUCCUCUUCUGCCUCUGAGGUCGGCUGAUCUUCUGAGGUUUGCGGGGCUUCUGGCCCAGAGGUCUCCUCCCCUUCUACUCCUGAGAUCUCCUCACCUUGGGCCUCUAAGAUCUCCUCACCUUGGGCCUCUAAAAUCUGCUUGCCUUCUGUCUCUGAGGUCUCUGCUUCUACCCCUGAAGUGUGCUUGCUUUCUGACUCCGAGGUCUCCUCCUGUACCACUGGGGUCUGCUGGCCUGACUUUGAAGACCGCCUGCUUUCUGCCCUUGAGGGCCGCUUGCUUUCUGCCCCUGAGGGCCGCUUGCUUUCUGUUCCUGAGGGCCUCCUGCUUUCCCCAAGCGAGGUCCGCUUGCUUUCUGCUGCUGAGGGCUUCCUGCUUUCCCCAAGUGAGGGCCGCCUGCUUUCCAAGAGUGAGGGCCGCCUGCUUUCCGUACCGGAGGACUGCCUGCUUUCUGCAACCGAAGGCUGCCUGCUUGCUGGCGCAGAGGGCAGCUUGCUUUCUACACCGGAGGUAUCCUCACUUUCAGGGGGGCCUUCUGCGCCUGAGGUCGGCUGGCUUGCCCGGAGAGACGGUUUUCCUUCUGUAGCCGGGGUCUGCUCUCCUUCUACGCUCGAGGUCUUGUCCGGUUUGGUGGCGGGGGUCUUCUCGCUUUCUGACCUCGUAACCUUCCGUGUUUGCCCCUCUUCUGCCUGGCCAGCUUCAGCCGCCGGGGGAUGCUCUUUUGGCCCUGCGGCCCCAGCCGCCGGAGGAUGAGGCCCUUCUUCUGGCCGGGCAGCCCCAGCCACGGAGGGUUGCUUCUCUCCGGCCCCAGAAGCUCUAGGCAUCGGGGGAUGCUUCUCCUUGGCCCUGGCGGCCUCCGGUGUCUUGAUCUCUCGUGGCUGGCCGCCGCCCUCCUCUCCGCUGAGCUCCCGUCCCGCGGGGCCUUCGGUGGACUCCUUGGAAGCGGGUGAGGGCGGCGGGGGCGGCGGGGCCGCCGGCUGGGCCGGGACCUUUAUCUGGGGCUUCAGGCUGUGGCCCCGCACCUGCAGCGGCUCCCAGCUGAACCACAGCCUCUGGUGCAGGAUCUCCACGCAUUUCCGGGGCUUGGUGCCCCUGCCCGGGGAUCGGGACUGGGUCUGGGUCGGCGACGGCGAGCGGGAGGGCAGCUUCUUGACCUGCAGGGUGUCCCGGAUGCCGUCGACCUCAGGGAUGACGCUGGCCCAGGGCGGCGCCUUGGGCCGCGUCCGGCCCUGCUGCCGGCCAUGGCGCCCUUCCCCUGGCCCGGGGGCCCGGGGUAGCCGGCGCUC